RNAcentral lists this small RNA (126 nucleotides) under Marmota monax (woodchuck). Lineage: Eukaryota; Metazoa; Chordata; Mammalia; Rodentia; Sciuridae. The record is from RNAcentral.
GCCGGGCGUGGUGGUGCACGCCCAUAAUCCCAGUGAUUGGGAGGCUGAGGCAGGAGGAUCACGAGUUCAAAGCCAGCCUCAGCAAUUUAGCAGGGACCUAAGCAAUGCAGUGGGAUCCUGUCUCUA